RNAcentral lists this ribosomal RNA (255 nucleotides) under uncultured bacterium. Its description in RNAcentral is "partial 16S ribosomal RNA". It matches the Rfam family "Bacterial small subunit ribosomal RNA", at positions 524 to 776 of the family's 1533-position model. The record is from RNAcentral.
UACGUAGGUGGCGAGCGUUAUCCGGAAUGAUUGGGCGUAAAGGGUGCGUAGGCGGCCUGCUAAGUCUGGAGUGAAAGGUACCGGCUCAACCGGUACAGGCUCUGGAAACUGGCGGGCUAGAGAGCAGGAGAGGGCGGUGGAACUCCAUGUGUAGCGGUAGAAUGCGUAGAUAUAUGGAAGAACACCAGUGGCGAAGGCGGCCGCCUGGCCUGUUGGUACUGACGCUGAGGCACGAAAGCGUGGGGAGCAAAUAGG